Molecule: ribosomal RNA, 425 nt
Filed under: uncultured bacterium
Lineage: Bacteria
Description: bacterial SSU rRNA
Rfam family: Bacterial small subunit ribosomal RNA
Source: RNAcentral
UCGAGAAUAAUUCACAAUGGGGGAAACCCUGAUGGUGCAACGCCGCGUGGAGGAUGAAGGUCUUCGGAUUGUAAACUCCUGUCAUCGGGGAGUAAGACCUGGCUGUGAAUAGCAGACAGGGUUGAUAGUACCCGAAGAGGAAGGGACGGCUAACUUCGUGCCAGCAGCCGCGGUAAUACGAAGGUCCCAAGCGUUGUUCGGACUCACUGGGCGUAAAGGGAGCGUAGGCGGCGCGGUAAGUCAGAUGUGAAAUCCCGGGGCUCAACCCCGGAACUGCAUCCGAUACUGCCGUGCUUGAGGGUUGGAGAGGUAGCUGGAAUUCUCGGUGUAGCAGUGAAAUGCGUGGAUAUCGAGAGGAACACUCGUGGCGAAGGCGAGCUACUGGACAACAUCUGACGCUGAGGCUCGAAGGCCGGGGGAGCAAA